Molecule: ribosomal RNA, 255 nt
Filed under: uncultured bacterium
Lineage: Bacteria
Description: partial 16S ribosomal RNA
Rfam family: Bacterial small subunit ribosomal RNA
Source: RNAcentral
UACGAGGGGGGCAAGCGUUGUUCGGAAUUAUUGGGCGUAAAGGGUGCGUAGGCGGUUUGGUAAGUCUGAUGUGAAAUCUAUGGGCUCAACUCAUAGUCUGCAUCGGAAACUGCCGGGCUUGAGUGUGGGAGAGGUGAGUGGAAUUCCUGGUGUAGCGGUGAAAUGCGUAGAUAUCAGGAGGAACACCUGUGGCGAAAAGCGGCUCACUGGACCAUAACUGACGCUGAUGCACGAAAGCUAGGGGGAGCAAACAGG